GAUGAACGCUGACAGAAUGCUUAACACAUGCAAGUCAACUUGAAUUUGGGUUUUUAACUUAGGUUUGGGUGGCGGACGGGUGAGUAACGCGUAAAGAACUUGCCUCACAGCUAGGGACAACAUUUGGAAACGAAUGCUAAUACCUAAUAUUAUGAUAAUAGGGCAUCCUAUCAUUAUGAAAGCUAUAAGCGCUGUGAGAGAGCUUUGCGUCCCAUUAGCUAGUUGGAGAGGUAACGGCUCACCAAGGCGAUGAUGGGUAGCCGGCCUGAGAGGGUGAUCGGCAACAAGGGGACUAAGACACGGCCCUUACUCCUACGGGAGGCAGCAGUGGGGAAUAUUGGACAAUGGACCGAGAGUCUGAUCCAGCAAUUCUGUGUGCACGAUGAAGUUUUUCGGAAUGUAAAGUGCUUUCAGUUGGGAAGAAACAAAUGACGGUACCAACAGAAGAAGUGACGGCUAAAUACGUG
This 467-nucleotide ribosomal RNA is filed under the name uncultured bacterium. Its description in RNAcentral is "partial 16S ribosomal RNA". It matches the Rfam family "Bacterial small subunit ribosomal RNA", at positions 28 to 507 of the family's 1533-position model. The record is from RNAcentral.